Molecule: long non-coding RNA, 228 nt
Filed under: Nicotiana benthamiana
Lineage: Eukaryota; Viridiplantae; Streptophyta; Magnoliopsida; Solanales; Solanaceae
Description: long non-coding RNA (NBEN_LNC037950)
Source: RNAcentral
AGACGAUGGUGAGUUGAGAAAAAAGCAAAAUGAGAGAGGCUUGAUGGUGAAAUCCCUUAAGGGCACUACAAGUCGACUGCGGAUUGUGGAUAGAUGGGACAAUUGAAGCGCUGAAGCCCAGUUUCACAGAGAAGAGGUAUACCAGGAAAUAAAAAUUAGACUUUCUUGAGAGAUCAGGUCGUCUAAUUCAAAAUACAUGUCAUGGUCAGCGGAGAUAGCCUUCAAAUC